CGAUGCAGGCGAAGAGGAGCCACAGCUGACCCUGGAGCUACGGCGCCCUCUGUCGGGCACGGCAGGAGGUGCCAACACAAGCCGCGCCAGCAGCAGUGCCUCCUGGAGCAGAACUCAGUCGGGUAGGCGCUCCCUCUGGCUGCGCGGCCUGGCACCGGACUCGCCGCUCGAGCUGCUCGUGUUUGCCGACAGCCCCAGAGGGCGCAGCCAGCUCGCCGCACUCAGGGCUCAAACUCUGCCCGAGGCUUCGGCAGCCCCUGGCAGUAGUGGAAGAGCUCAAGAGAGGCGAACAAAGCAGCGCCCCAUUCUGCCAGACGCCAACCAGAAGGAGGAACAGCUUCCGGAUGAAGACGACGCCAGUCAGGAGCAAAGGGGCUGCUGUCCGCUGCUCGUGACCCUGGCGUGUGCUCUUUCUGCAGGCCUGCUAGUGAUACUCCCUGUCGCCGUAUUAAUCGGUCUUCGACUGAGGAAGCAGUAUUACCGCCGCCGAAGGCGACCACCAGAAAUAUACAGCCUUCAAGAGGUCAAGUGACAAACAGCCGACGAGGCCGAAACCGUGGAGCUGCCUCCUGACGUCGAGCGCCAUUAAUGCGUGUCUGCCUACUGAGCGACGCCUCAAACAAACUAUCUGUGAUGUAACAGUGGUGUGAAUGUGGACAUUCUUCGAAAUCAAGCGUCUGUGUAGCGCCGUGGAUGUGAGUGACUUCCGCAGUACAGAAAGUGAAAGCAGCCGUCGGCUACAAGACGAGCUAUGGUCGCUUCACUCAACAGCACUUCAGACUUCUUGCUUGAACUGCCCUGCAGCCAAUGCAAAGCUAUUACGAACCAUUGCGCUCGAUGGACCGUUGGGUCCAACGCCCUUUUCUUUUAAACAAACCUCCUGGGAAAACAGCCUCUCAGCCAGCAUGUCUCAACUUGCUUUAAAGCUGUAGCGUUUGCAGUGGUUGAGAGCUGUUCUAACUUUGCUUUAGAACAAAGUUCAUCUAGUGCGCCUUCAAGAGACCGCAACGGUGCCUGUUUUCCAUUGUGGUCUGGGGUGCGGUCUUUCCUGCCACUGUGACACUGCUCAUCUCGCUUAUAUAGACAAUACUGGUGCCGUGCGUGUGAGCUCGAGGCUAACGCGGGGCGAUCUGUAAAUCGGCUGCCCAGUUUCUGAGCCUGUGCUGUGUUCACUAAUAUGAAUCUGACAGGCCGAAUCUGAGAGUGGCCUGCUAUAUUUUCGUUAACCUAUUCAGACCUUCCACGUUGUUAAGCGCGAUGUCAUGCGGACGAUGCUCAAGUGGAUCCAUUUUGCGGGUAAACUUGACGUCACAGUGAGCGAGCGAGCGAUCGAAUUAUCAUGUUAGCAUUGUAAAUAUUUAAGUCACACUGAUCUCAUGGACAUACCAGCUUUUGGAAAUACGGGCGAAGUGUGCAGAAUUAACCGAGUGUGGAAUGAAUUUUGUACAUAGGUAUUGAUUUAUGUAGGCGAUAGCUAGAUCGAGUUUGCUUCAUGGUGUACGUAUGCGACAAAAGCCUUACAUAGGCAGUCUCAUGAACCUGCGUUAUUUUUUUUUCUGUUGUUGUUGUUGUUGUUGUUGUUAGGCAGUGUAAUAUACGCUGCUUUGAUGCGCCUCUCGAAAUUACUCCUUGCCGGCUGCAGCGCUUAACUUUCGAGUACAAAGAACUUUUGUCCACGUGGUUUUAGACAACUGUUCUGAUUGGAUGAAUAGCCGAAAUCAUUUAUCUAAGUCAAAAUAAACAAGUCUGUAAAUAAAUACUUAAAUAAAUAAACAAAUGAAGAAACAAGCAAUAAGGGGAAUGAGCCUUCUAAUUGUUUCGAAGGCUUCUUCCACUUAUUCCUUGUUUCUUCUGGAAGGCUU
Dermacentor silvarum is the source of this 1862-nucleotide long non-coding RNA. RefSeq lists it as uncharacterized. The transcript has 4 exons. NCBI's taxonomy places the organism in Eukaryota, Metazoa, Arthropoda, Arachnida, Ixodida, Ixodidae. The record is from RefSeq and is a predicted model, not a curated record.